Molecule: unclassified non-coding RNA, 316 nt
Filed under: plant metagenome
Description: partial contains 5.8S ribosomal RNA, internal transcribed spacer 2, and large subunit ribosomal RNA
Rfam family: 5.8S ribosomal RNA (bases 1-105)
Source: RNAcentral
GAAAUGCGAUAACUAGUGUGAAUUGCAGAAUUCCGUGAAUCAUCGAGUCUUUGAACGCACAUUGCGCCCCCUGGUAUUCCGGGGGGCUUGCCUGUCCGAGCGUCAUUGCUGCCCAUCAAGCACGGCUUGUGUGUUGGGUCGUCGUCCCCUCUCCGGGGGGGACGGGCCCCAAAGGCAGCGGCGGCACCGCGUCCGAUCCUCGAGCGUAUGGGGCUUUGUCACCCGCUCUGUAGGCCCGGCCGGCGCUUGCCGAACGCAAAUCAAUCUUUUUCCAGGUUGACCUCGGAUCAGGUAGGGAUACCCGCUGAACUUAAGC